ACGGGGGGUGCAAGCGUUAUUCGGAAUCAUUGGGCGUAAAGGGCGCGUAGGCGGUUUGUUAAGUCAGAUGUGAAAGCCCGGGGCUCAACCCCGGAAGUGCAUUUGAUACUGGCGGACUUGAGUAUGGGAGAGGGAAGUGGAAUUCCUGGUGUAGAGGUGAAAUUCGUAGAUAUCAGGAGGAACACCGGUGGCGAAGGCGACUUCCUGGACCAAUACUGACGCUGAGGCGCGAAGGCGUGGGUAGCAAACAGG
Molecule: ribosomal RNA, 252 nt
Filed under: uncultured bacterium
Lineage: Bacteria
Description: partial 16S ribosomal RNA
Rfam family: Bacterial small subunit ribosomal RNA
Source: RNAcentral